This 484-nucleotide ribosomal RNA is filed under the name uncultured bacterium. RNAcentral describes it as "partial 16S ribosomal RNA". It matches the Rfam family "Bacterial small subunit ribosomal RNA", at positions 30 to 507 of the family's 1533-position model. The record is from RNAcentral.
AUUGAACGCUGGCGGCAGGCCUAACACAUGCAAGUCGAGCGGAUGAAGGGAGCUUGCUCCUGGAUUCAGCGGCGGACGGGUGAGUAAUGCCUAGGAAUCUGCCUGGUAGUGGGGGAUAACGUCCGGAAACGGGCGCUAAUACCGCAUACGUCCUGAGGGAGAAAGUGGGGGAUCUUCGGACCUUACGCUAUCAGAUGAGCCUAGGUCGGAUUAGCUAGUUGGUGGGGUAAAGGCCUACCAAGGCGGCGAUCCGUAACUGGUCUGAGAGGAUGAUCAGUCACACUGGAACUGAGACACGGUCCAGACUCCGACGGGAGGCAGCAGUGGGGAAUAUUGGACAAUGGGCGAAAGCCUGAUCCAGCCAUGCCGCGUGGGUGAAGAAGGUCUGCGGAUUGUAAAGCACUUUAAGUUGGGAGGAAGGGCAGUAAGUUAAUACCUUGCUGUUUUGACGUUACCAACAGAAUAAGCACCGGCUAACUUCGUG